Triticum aestivum (bread wheat) is the source of this 673-nucleotide long non-coding RNA. RefSeq lists it as uncharacterized. Lineage: Eukaryota; Viridiplantae; Streptophyta; Magnoliopsida; Poales; Poaceae. The transcript is spliced from 3 exons. The record is from RefSeq and is a predicted model, not a curated record.
UUUUGUCAUUAGCAGUGCUUUAUUUAUGUUCAUAUUCCACGUAUGCAUGUGCUGCUCCGGUGGUGUUUUAUUAGUUGAUUGGCAUAUAUGGAUCUCUCCAUGUUUAUUAGUUGAUCUCCAACCCCUACUCUGCUGUGGUGCUGUGGGAGCAAGAAGAGCAUGCAUGCUUUCUCUCUACAUCUAGGGUCCAUACGGCCAGAUUGACGGGCCUAAACUCUGGCUCAAAGGUUUCUUUCAAGAAUCAAGAGAGAACAUUCAAGGAGUGGAUUGUUUGGAAAUUAAAACCUUCAGAUUUCUUAGAAGUGAGCUUCACUUGGAUUUAUGUGAAUAUAAGCGUAAGAUGUCUAGUGGCAAUGCUACAAAAUCAUUGCAGGCGUGACUCGUGAGUAUCCGGAUUGCACUGCUGCUGGCCGUUUCUUGCAACUGCGCACAACAGGCUUCUGACAAAGCCAAGUCAUGGACUCAUGAGGUCCCUUUUUUCAGCCAAACUGAAAGCACUUCAUGUUAGCUUGUAUUCGAUGUUGGAUUAACUACAAUGCAUUGUACCCAUCCAUGCUCCAGGGUGAGUCUGUACAUAUCCUUGUUAGAUGCACCAAUGCCUAUGAUAGUUCUGAACUCUAACAAUAUAGUAUCGUAUGUUUAAUCGAUGUUCUACUAUUAGAUCAUAAUGUUA